AAGCACCUGAAGCCAUUACAGGCCCGACUUUGCUGUCUUCUGCCUACCUUCACCUCAGAGGGCAGGGCCCUCCAGCUCGAAGGCUGCUCACAGGAAGUUGUGCAAAGAGCUGGACACCAGGCUGCAGAGACCCAGACCCGCUCCAGAGAGCACUGGCCCUGCACAAGACGCCAGGGGUGCAGACGCAGCCGCUGCAGAGACGGGUCCCUGACUCUGUGUCAUUCAAACUCCAAUUCCCGCAUCCUUCUGAGAGAAUUUUGAAAAGAUCCGAUCCAUAUGAGGCUUUUUCCAGUGAGCAAGCUUGAUGCAGAUGUCCUCCUCUCCUUUAAGUGACAAACGGAAUUAUAACACUGUAUUCAAUUUCACUCUAAACUUUUUCUCUUCUGACUGUCCCAGAAAGGUGAUGACUAAAUGAUUCACUUCAUAGUACCUGGAGGGAGACCCAGUGUCCCGCAGGGUAGCAUAGCCCCCACUUACUGGACUGCCUGCAUCAGCCCUUCUGAACUCACCAUGAAGUAAGGAGCUGAUGAGAUCACCCACGAUGUGUCAUGAUGUCUCUGACCUUCAGAGUGCCAGCAAAAGGAACCUUUCCAAACCACAUGAACAAAGCAUCUCUCUGUAAUUCAGGAAUGAAACCCCAUGCUUACAGGGCCAAGAAAUACCACUGGCUGUUACUUUAUUUAUCUCAUAUAUAUGGGUAACUGUCUUAAGACCUGUGUUCUCUGCACGUCAGUUUCUCAUGUACCAAAGUAGAUAGAGCUCGGACUUCAUUCUACAGCACCUGCUAAUGUCUCCUAAAACUUUCAGACUAUGUCAUCUUAAACAUCACUAAGAAAGUCUCCUCUGCUCAUAUAAGGCUUAAUUAAGUGUGGGGCAGGGGCCCUGGAGGAGGGAAACUCGGAAAGUAAUCAAGAGAUCUAAUGUCUGAGUCUUUGUGACAGUUCCUGGGAAUGUCAAAAGGAAGGCUGUGUCCAAAAUAAAGCAAGGGUUUUUUUUCUGUGCUUUACAAAA
Erinaceus europaeus (western European hedgehog) is the source of this 1011-nucleotide long non-coding RNA. RefSeq lists it as uncharacterized. The record is from RefSeq and is a predicted model, not a curated record. Lineage: Eukaryota; Metazoa; Chordata; Mammalia; Eulipotyphla; Erinaceidae. The transcript is spliced from 3 exons.